This 253-nucleotide ribosomal RNA is filed under the name uncultured bacterium. RNAcentral's name for it is "partial 16S ribosomal RNA". It matches the Rfam family "Bacterial small subunit ribosomal RNA", at positions 524 to 776 of the family's 1533-position model. The record is from RNAcentral.
UACAGAGGGGGCAAGCGUUGUUCGGAUUUACUGGGCGUAAAGAGCGCGCAGGCGGUCGUGCAAGUCGCGUGUGAAAGCCCCCGGCUCAACUGGGGAGGGUCACGCGAUACUGCUCGACUCGAAGGCAGGAGAGGGAAGUGGAAUUCCCGGUGUAGUGGUGAAAUGCGUAGAUAUCGGGAGGAACACCAGUGGCGAAGGCGACUUCCUGGCCUGUUCUUGACGCUGAGGCGCGAAAGCUAGGGUAGCAAACGGG